GCGAGCUGUUUCCUGUCAGGUUUGGUGACAUACUUUUGUAUUUCGAAUCGUUUCUCAAGCCCUUUUCGCUGCAGGUUGGAAAACACCGCUCGUGACCAGGAUCGCUUCCUUUUGUACGUCUGUGGCAUCGUGUCUUUGACCUAACUGAAGCUUGUGCUGGCAAGAUAAAAUUAAAUACAGAAAAUCGGAUCUACUUGGAGACACGGAAGGCGCUGGCCCACCUGGAAAGGUAUCCUGUAACUGAUGCUGUCCUGAUUGCCUGGCCGCGCUGCCUAACGAGCUCAUCAUGGUGGGCGCGUCGCUCAUCCUGGGUUCUAAGGGCGUAAAGUACUGGCUUGUAGAAGGCGGCAUAGAGAGAUGCAUCCCUGACUGACGGUUCGUGCUAACAAUUGAAGUGAGAUCUGUUACAGGACGAAAAGAAAAGGACGAAGAGGUUAAAAAAGCGGCCCUAUAAGCGGGAUUUGGGAGUGCUGCCGUUUAGUGUUUCUCACCUUAAAAGUAAUAAGGAUGUAAAAAAAAAAACGAGCGGCAGAAGUAGAAAUAAACUGUAUAAUUGUUCUGGGGGGAGAGAUGCCAAAAUGUCAUUGAGUGUGUCCCGCCUAUUGAAACUAAAAAACUUCAGUUAUACAGCUGCCAGAACUUAACAUGACAUAAAUACUAUUCUGUUUAGCGUUUUGUUUAAGUUAAUUUUAGAGCUGACGCAGCAUAAACGCAAUAUGAAAAAAUAUAUUGAGUGUCUCUCAUUCAGGCAUAUAAAUGAAAAAUCUGACCAAGAUUUGUAUCUGUGUGAAUCCGUCUCCUACCUCUUAAACUUGAAGUCUCUUUGGCUUUUGGGUCAAAGUCUGUAGAUAAAAUGCGAUCAAUCCCAAACUUUAGGUCUUUGCUUGACGGUGCAGGGGCUUGGGGAGAGUUCAGAGUGACUCGCGAAACAGAAGUUAAAUGUAAUCCGUGCCUGUGAUACGGGGACGCAGAGCUCACCCUGGAGCUGAAAACAGACGGCUCCUGGGUAACCGGGGAAGGGCGCAGGGGAGAUCCAGAAGCGUGAACCGGAGCACGGGGACCCAUAUGAGCCAUUAUAGCGGAAGAUCCAGAGAUAUUUUCAGCGUCUCCGACGUGUAAUAUGUCAGCGAUGCAAAAAGACGGCUUCUUCAUCGAAUCCAAUGAAAAACCACUGGAGCAAUACGCAGACCAAAGACUAAAAUUAGAAGCAUAAAACGGAUUCAGUCCGGUAGUAUACAUUCUACUAAUAUGUGUUACCCCGCGGUUAAACACAAACGGUGAUAACAGAGAAAUCCUGCAUGGAAACGCAGAUAUUGUCGAAAACGGUAGAUUUCUUUUUUAAAGGGCCUGGGAUCUUUCUCUCAAGUAUGGAACGUAAGCAGCUGGUCCAAGUAGUCCUCAGCAGAAGUUUCUGCUCUUUAAAUGAUUGGUUAGCCUCUGGCCAAUGGAGGUGCAGCUUAAGCAAGACGACACGCCCCCAAGAAGUAGGGUACUUGAGAGUUGAACUUUACCGGUGAAAUCCUUCGUUGGCCGAAUGAAUAAAUACAGCACUAAAAUUAUGAUUAUUAAUACUAUUAUUUAUUAUUGUAGUUAACAACUACCAGGAAUGCUAUAUUAUAAAAAAACAAUUAUAUAACUAAAUACCAAACUAUGGACUACACGUUUAGUGUCGAAAAUUUGGAAGAAUAAAUGACACGUAUUUUUGCGAGCGACUUACGUUGUCCGAAACACCAUAUAUUUACAUUUUGGCUAACACAAAUUAAUUUAACAAACAAUGAGUUUAUUGCGUGUUUUUAGCCUAGUAUUAUACAAAUACAAAGUUUAACGGGUUAAUAAAUUUUGCCCAGUUAUGAAGCACAGAUUAAUUAUUUUUACGUGUAUCUUUGUAGAUGAUAUUUCAGUAAUAUACUAAUUUAAAAAAUGUGUUUUCAGUCGUCAGAGAGAAUCCGAAAGCAAUAAGUCUUUUAGAAAAUAUAAAUAUUACUGGGGAAUUAUUGUUCAGCUUUUGAACAUAAAUACGGCGAAUAACCAAUGUCAUUGUUUGUAUUAUUAUGAAGUGGUUUUCUCUGAACAUGUCCCGUGGUUCGCCCUGAAAUUCCGUUUCAUUCCGAGGUUGACCGCUGAGUACAGGAAACUCCAGCUCUAAUAGAUGCAGGUCAUCCUGUUUUUAAUGGGCUCUGAUUCUAACUAAAUGAGCGGAUAUUCCUGCUAGAUUUGUCCAAAAAUAGAGCAUGUUUUAGUAUUUUAGGAUACGAACGAAAUCCGUAUUUCUUCCUGAGUGUAACAAAAAAAACUUUAUAAUGACGGUUAGAACUUCCUUUUUCAAUAUUUGUGCAACUUUAUCUCAACCCGCAAGUUGCGCUGUGACGCAAAUCCGCCCUCAUGCUUAUAAUAAAGAGGAAAUCAAUUUCAUAAAAAAGAAAACAAAAAUAACCACAAAAGCUUUACUUCACACAUAUCUAAAGCAUGUAAUACGUCAAUAAAUAAACAUGAAAAUAAAUUUUAUGAAGAAUAUUUCAUUUUUUUCAUCGGUGGGUCAUCUUUAAAAAAACAAUAAUAAAAGUAAUAGAAAUAAGUAAAAAUCGGUAGCAUGUUUAUUCAUUAUACAUUUAUUUAUAAAUGAAUUCAUUUAUUGGUGGAUUAAUUGUAGCAUAACAGUUGUCAUAAUCACAGUUGUUGCGUGAAGCGUUAUGUCAUAAACGUGUCUUAUAUGUCUUGCACCUUCUUUUGUUUAUGUUUUGUUCUGUUUUGUUUCUCUUCUACCAAACAAACAAUUUCAUGUCAGUAAAAUGUCUAGAAUAUUGAAGUAGAAGAAUUUUAUUUAGAUAGGCCUACAUUUUUGUUUAGUUUCGAAAUUUAAAGUUACGGUAUUCAUUUAUGUAAAUAUGUUUUGUUAUAUUUUUAGUUAAAGGAUUAUAAAAUUAUUUUUAUUAGGCUAUUAUGAUCCGAAAAAGAAAACAUAUUGGUGACUGAUAAGGCUUUUAACCUCAGCCGUCUUAAACCGUUAUUCCCCAUCCCGUUUUAGUAAUCGCCUCUGUUUAUUGCCUUCAUUAGCGCUGAUUUAUUUCCUAAGUGUCCUGCGACUCUGGCGGCUUCCUACCGCAGUGUGUCUCAGAAACAUUUUUUCCGGGUUAAAUUUAGCAAUGAAAUGUACCGUUUGCCCUCCAUCAAGCAGACGAAACAAUUUAGGGAAAAGGAUGUAGAGGAACACAGCAUGCGUACACGCUUCGGUUAUUUCAGGUGCCGAUGAGCUCAAUGCAGGGAAUUUUUAAACGAUCCCGUUUGGCUGCCGAAAGCCGCCCAAGUGUGUUUACCUGGGGAUUGUUUAUUAGCAGUGAGCACGCAGGAAGGAGUGCAUGUAAAAUUAUUUAUUUUUAAUGUUAUUAUUUAUUUGUUCUGUAAAUAAGACUUAUUCUUCUGGGCAAUUAUUGACAAUGUGAGAUGCUUUUAUAUUUUUAUUUAUCGGAAUUAAAAGAUUAAUUUAUGGGAAUUACAUUUAAAUAAAACAUUUUUCAUUUAUUCUACAUGUUUAUAUGAUGUUAAAUAUAAGCUGUAUUCGGUUAUGUUGAUGUCUGUUUAAAAUAUGCAUUCGAAUAUAAAAUCUGAAAUUCA
Brienomyrus brachyistius is the source of this 3612-nucleotide long non-coding RNA. RefSeq lists it as uncharacterized. The transcript is spliced from 2 exons. The record is from RefSeq and is a predicted model, not a curated record. Lineage: Eukaryota; Metazoa; Chordata; Actinopteri; Osteoglossiformes; Mormyridae.